CUACGGGUGGCUCCAGUGGGGAAUAUUGGACAAUGGGGGCAACCCUGAUCCAGCAAUGCCGCGUGUGUGAAGAAGGCCUGCGGGUUGUAAAGCACUUUCAAUAGGGAGGAAAAGCUUUGGGUUAAUACCCCGAAGUCUUGACGUUACCUUUAGAAGAAGCACCGGCUAACUCUGUGCCAGCAGCCGCGGUAAUACAGAGGGUGCGAGCGUUAAUCGGAAUUACUGGGCGUAAAGCGCGCGUAGGCGGUUUGAUAAGUCAGAUGUGAAAGCCCCGGGCUUAACCUGGGAACUGCAUUUGAUACUGUCAAACUAGAGUAUGGUAGAGGGUAGUAGAAUUCCUGGUGUAGCGGUGAAAUGCGUAGAUAUCAGGAGGAAUACCAGUGGCGAAGGCGGCUACCUGGACCAAUACUGACGCUGAGGUGCGAAAGCGUGGGGAGCAAACAGGAUUAGAUACCCCCGUAGUC
RNAcentral lists this ribosomal RNA (464 nucleotides) under uncultured bacterium. Its description in RNAcentral is "partial 16S ribosomal RNA". It matches the Rfam family "Bacterial small subunit ribosomal RNA", at positions 339 to 795 of the family's 1533-position model. The record is from RNAcentral.